GCUGCUGUGGCUUACCGGCAAAGCUCCCUUCGCGCUUACAUCACAGGGUGGGGUUUCCAAGGGCGACGUGGGUUCGACUCCCACCAAUAGCA
This is a non-coding RNA of Mycena vitilis, 92 nucleotides long. Lineage: Eukaryota; Fungi; Basidiomycota; Agaricomycetes; Agaricales; Mycenaceae. The record is from the annotation of a GenBank genome assembly.